This 473-nucleotide ribosomal RNA is filed under the name Neisseria pharyngis. RNAcentral describes it as "bacterial SSU rRNA". It matches the Rfam family "Bacterial small subunit ribosomal RNA", at positions 30 to 491 of the family's 1533-position model. The record is from RNAcentral. Lineage: Bacteria; Pseudomonadati; Pseudomonadota; Betaproteobacteria; Neisseriales; Neisseriaceae.
AUUGAACGCUGGCGGCAUGCUUUACACAUGCAAGUCGGACGGCAGCACAGAGAAGCUUGCUUCUUGGGUGGCGAGUGGCGAACGGGUGAGUAAUAUAUCGGAACGUACCGAGCAGUGGGGGAUAACUAAUCGAAAGAUUAGCUAAUACCGCAUAUUUUCUGAGGAAGAAAGCAGGGGACCAUUUGGCCUUGCGCUGUUUGAGCGGCCGAUAUCUGAUUAGCUAGUUGGUGGGGUAAAGGCCUACCAAGGCGACGAUCAGUAGCGGGUCUGAGAGGAUGAUCCGCCACACUGGGACUGAGACACGGCCCAGACUCCUACGGGAGGCAGCAGUGGGGAAUUUUGGACAAUGGGCGCAAGCCUGAUCCAGCCAUGCCGCGUGUCUGAAGAAGGCCUUCGGGUUGUAAAGGACUUUUGUCAGGGAAGAAAAGGAUAGGGUUAAUACCCCUGUCUGAUGACGUACCUGAAGAAUAAGC